RNAcentral lists this unclassified non-coding RNA (800 nucleotides) under Hevea brasiliensis (rubber tree). Lineage: Eukaryota; Viridiplantae; Streptophyta; Magnoliopsida; Malpighiales; Euphorbiaceae. The record is from RNAcentral.
UAAAAACUCUACAGCAAUUUUUAUAUAGCACCGGCCAUAAGGAAAAGAAAGACAAAAAGAAAAGGUAAAUUCACAACCAAGAUGGAAGUGUAACUACACAUCACAAGGUAACUGAGAGCUGUAUACCACAGUUGCUCCAAGUGCCUAGCACAAUUAUGCAGAAAAGAGCUGGCUUCUCCAAGUGUUUUAUAUCUCGGAUUCCUUUCUCACCAUAUUUAACUGGGGCACCCAUUAAGGAUUCCUAUAUUUACUCACAAUGAUUGUGGCGCAGAGUCUUAAACCAAAAGCAAGAUAUAAAUUAUGUUGCUUAGGCUGUGUAACUCCUAAUUCCCUAGAUGAUACAACCAUGAACAACUAUUCUGUACAUUUCAAGCCGCAUAAAUAGACCUGGGACUGAAUAACUAUUCUCCCAAUCUUAAAUCCUGGAACUACUGUGAACCCCACCUUCAUCCGGGUCUUAGCUGGCAAGUUGCAUCUUCUAGUUAUAUCUUCCAUAUAUACCAUUGAAAAAUCAACCCCUCUUUCCACCUGGAAAAUCUCAAAAGCAGGAUCAAAUGAGAUCGCCAGUUUAUGAAGCAUCCAUACUGCACUAGCCAUGUUAACAAAUGACUCAUAGAAUAUACGAAGUGACCUCCAUGAAAUCAAAACUUCUUCAUUUUUAUCCAAAUUGCUGAAAAUUGAUGAUUCCAUUGUUGGAUGAACAAGUUCUUGAUACUUCUUUUCACAAAAUUUUGAAAAUUCACAGUUGGGAUUCCUAUGUAGCAACUCCACAGGACUGCUAGACACAUGCUCAAGCAACU